CUUGACUUCGGAAUACCAGCUGGAAACAGCUGCUAAUACCGGAUAUGACACUUGCCCUCAUGGGUGGGUGUGGAAAGCUCCGGCGGUCAGGGAUGGGCUCGCGGCCUAUCAGCUUGUUGGUGAGGUAAUGGCUCACCAAGGCUUCGACGGGUAGCCGGCCUGAGAGGGCGACCGGCCACACUGGGUCUGAGAUACGGCCCAGACUCCUACGGGAGGCAGCAGUGGGGAAUAUUGCACAAUGGGCGCAUGCCGGAGGCAUCAACGCCGCGUGCGGGAUGACGGCCUUCGGGUUGAAACCGCUUUCAUAGGGACGAAGCUAACGUGCCGGCCCCUACAGAAAAAGGACCGGCUAACUCGUGCCAGCAGCCGCGGUGAUCGUAGGGUCCGAGCGUUGUCCGGAUUUUUGGGCGU
This 411-nucleotide ribosomal RNA is filed under the name Friedmaniella environmental sample. RNAcentral describes it as "bacterial SSU rRNA". It matches the Rfam family "Bacterial small subunit ribosomal RNA", at positions 131 to 561 of the family's 1533-position model. The record is from RNAcentral. Lineage: Eukaryota; Metazoa; Platyhelminthes; Prolecithophora; Baicalarctiidae.